This 128-nucleotide ribosomal RNA is filed under the name uncultured eukaryote. RNAcentral's name for it is "partial small subunit ribosomal RNA". It matches the Rfam family "Eukaryotic small subunit ribosomal RNA", at positions 1651 to 1776 of the family's 1831-position model. The record is from RNAcentral.
CCCUGCCAUUUGUACACACCGCCCGUCGCUGCUACCGAUUGGAUGGUCCGGUGAGAACUCUGGAUUGUGAUCGAUGUGCCGGUCUCCGGUGCUUGAUUGCGAGAAGUUGAUCGAACCUUAUCAUCUAG